Molecule: ribosomal RNA, 253 nt
Filed under: uncultured bacterium
Lineage: Bacteria
Description: partial 16S ribosomal RNA
Rfam family: Bacterial small subunit ribosomal RNA
Source: RNAcentral
UACGGAGGUCUCAAGCGUUGUUCGGAUUCACUGGGCGUAAAGGGUGCGUAGGCGGUCGGGUAAGUCUGAUGUGAAAUCUCACAGCUUAACUGUGAAACUGCAUUGGAUACUAUCCGGCUCGAGGAAUGGAGGGGAGACUGGAAUACUUGGUGUAGCAGUGAAAUGCGUAGAUAUCAAGUGGAACACCAGUGGCGAAGGCGAGUCUCUGGACAUUUCCUGACGCUGAGGCACGAAAGCCAGGGGAGCAAACGGG